UACGUAGGGUGCAAGCGUUGUCCGGAUUUACUGGGCGUAAAGAGCGUGUAGGCGGCCAAACAGGUCCGUUGUGAAAACUGGAGGCUUAACCUCCAGACGUCGACGGAAACCGUGUGGCUAGAGUCCGGAAGAGGAGAGUGGAAUUCCUGGUGUAGCGGUGAAAUGCGCAGAUAUCAGGAAGAAUACCAAUGGCGAAGGCAGCUCUCUGGGACGGUACUGACGCUGAGACGCGAAAGCGUGGGGAGCGAACAGG
This 253-nucleotide ribosomal RNA is filed under the name uncultured bacterium. RNAcentral describes it as "partial 16S ribosomal RNA". It matches the Rfam family "Bacterial small subunit ribosomal RNA", at positions 524 to 776 of the family's 1533-position model. The record is from RNAcentral.